This 466-nucleotide ribosomal RNA is filed under the name uncultured bacterium. RNAcentral describes it as "bacterial SSU rRNA". It matches the Rfam family "Bacterial small subunit ribosomal RNA", at positions 328 to 792 of the family's 1533-position model. The record is from RNAcentral.
UUGCCAGACUCCUACGGGAGGCAGCAGUGAGGAAUAUUGGUCAAUGGACGAGAGUCUGAACCAGCCAAGUAGCGUGAAGGAUGACUGCCCUAUGGGUUGUAAACUUCUUUUAUAUGGGAAUAAAAUGUUCCACGUGUGGGAUUUUGUAUGUACCAUAUGAAUAAGGAUCGGCUAACUCCGUGCCAGCAGCCGCGGUAAUACGGAGGAUCCGAGCGUUAUCCGGAUUUAUUGGGUUUAAAGGGUGCGCAGGCGGAAGAUCAAGUCAGCGGUAAAAUUGAGAGGCUCAACCUCUUCGAGCCGUUGAAACUGGUUUUCUUGAGUGAGUGAGAAGUAUGCGGAAUGCGUGGUGUAGCGGUGAAAUGCAUAGAUAUCACGCAGAACUCCGAUUGCGAAGGCAGCAUACCGGCGCUCAACUGACGCUCAUGCACGAAAGUGUGGGUAUCGAACAGGAUUAGAUACCCUAGUA